This 60-nucleotide transfer RNA is filed under the name Actinomycetota bacterium. RNAcentral's name for it is "Actinobacteria bacterium (freshwater metagenome) tRNA-Ser". It matches the Rfam family "tRNA", at positions 17 to 71 of the family's 71-position model. Rfam says of the family: Transfer RNA (tRNA) molecules are approximately 80 nucleotides in length. Their secondary structure includes four short double-helical elements and three loops (D, anti-codon, and T loops). Lineage: Bacteria; Bacillati; Actinomycetota. The record is from RNAcentral.
GGUUAGCGCGCCGCCCUGUCACGGCGGAGGUCGCCGGUUCGAGCCCGGUCGGGGUCGCCA